This 526-nucleotide long non-coding RNA is filed under the name Cricetulus griseus (Chinese hamster). RNAcentral's name for it is "lncRNA (ENSCGRG00000025932.1)". The record is from RNAcentral. Lineage: Eukaryota; Metazoa; Chordata; Mammalia; Rodentia; Cricetidae.
GAACAACUCGGGCUGCCCAACUCGAGGUCCUGUGCCCCUGGUCUAACAGCACAGCCACUCAUUUGAGUUUCGGAUCCCAGUUCCUACCCACUCGCCCACCGCUGCGGCCCCCAGGUCCCCGGUGGACACCCAAAAGUCGGGCGGGGACCGCCCUAAGUGCCCUAUGCCACAGAGUAUAGCGUCUGAGCUCUGGCGUGGCCGGCCGCUUUCCACCUGGCCUGCGCUUCAGCCUGUCUGCCUUCUCUUGCAGGACAGAUCCGGAGAGGGUGGAAGGUCCAGGUUUUUGCGGCAAUUAAUGAUACUAGGACCUGUGCGCAGGCUCUGUUUGCUUCCGGAAGGAGUGAGAAGACAGAAUGCAUCCCGAAGCCCUAGGCGCUCAUGGGAAUCUCUGCUGCCGCGGGGUCUGACGAAGGCUGGACCGAGGAUGCCGCAUCUCCGGCCCUGCUGGGUGUCAAGUCCCUCCGGGCCAUCCCUCUCUUGGGGUAACCCAUUCUUGGAUUGCCAGUGGACAAUUUAAAAAAAAAAC